UGGGUAACCUGCCUCAAAGAGGGGAAUAGCCUCCCGAAAGGGAGAUUAAUACCGCAUAAUAUGUUUAAAUCGCAUGACUUUAACAUCAAAGGAUUUUUCUUUUAAGAAAUUCCACUUUGAGAUGGACCCGCGGUGCAUUAGCUAGUUGGUGAGGUAACGGCUCACCAAGGCAACGAUGCGUAGCCGACCUGAGAGGGUNAUCGGCCACAUUGGAACUGAGACACGGUCCAGACUCCGUAGGGAG
RNAcentral lists this ribosomal RNA (244 nucleotides) under uncultured bacterium. RNAcentral describes it as "partial 16S ribosomal RNA". It matches the Rfam family "Bacterial small subunit ribosomal RNA", at positions 118 to 347 of the family's 1533-position model. The record is from RNAcentral.